AUCUUACUCCCUUCAUCCGGAAAUACUUGUUUUAAAGAUGAAUGUAUCUAGACUUAUNUUAGUUAUAGAUACAUUCAUUAUAUCCAUUUCUGGGACAAGUAUUUCCGGACGGAGUGAGUAUUUA
Molecule: non-coding RNA, 124 nt
Organism: Hordeum vulgare subsp. vulgare (domesticated barley)
Lineage: Eukaryota; Viridiplantae; Streptophyta; Magnoliopsida; Poales; Poaceae
Source: Rfam